GCAUGUGGACAGCUGAAGUAGAAGGCUGACCGUGAUUCCAUGGUCACAGCUGCAUAUGCAUUCUUCCCGAAGCAGUGUGCAUAAGGAGCAUGACCUUCCCAGAAUAGAGGACCAGUCUUCACUCAUGGGUAUAUGAGUAGCUUCUCUCCCCUACUAGAACUUCCAAACAGGCUCUCAAGAGCAAAGAUCUCUGGCAUAUGAGGACCUUGGUAUGCACAAAGGCAAGAUAAUUGAAGGGUGAUAUUACAUU
RNAcentral lists this small nuclear RNA (250 nucleotides) under Jaculus jaculus (lesser Egyptian jerboa). RNAcentral's name for it is "7SK RNA (ENSJJAG00000009588.1)". It matches the Rfam family "7SK RNA". Rfam says of the family: 7SK was discovered as an abundant small nuclear RNA in the mid-70s but a possible function has only recently been suggested. Two independent studies have found that 7SK RNA binds the CDK9/cyclin T complex (known as elongation factor P-TEFb). Lineage: Eukaryota; Metazoa; Chordata; Mammalia; Rodentia; Dipodidae. The record is from Rfam by way of RNAcentral.